Long non-coding RNA from Thalassophryne amazonica, 335 nucleotides. RefSeq lists it as uncharacterized. The record is from RefSeq and is a predicted model, not a curated record. NCBI's taxonomy places the organism in Eukaryota, Metazoa, Chordata, Actinopteri, Batrachoidiformes, Batrachoididae. The transcript has 3 exons.
GCCAAAUAAUAAUCAUCAUAAUAAAAAUGACCCACUAAUGACAGGAGGUUCCACAUGGAGUGCACAAAAUACCAUCUCUGCCUUUUGGGCAAACUUUCACUCAACAAAGAUUCUUGCCUUUUCUUAAUCUUGCCCUCAGUGAUCCAGUUGGCCUACUAGCCCAGAUAGCUCCAGAACCCAGCCAGCACCUGUCCUCUACGUGACAGGCGUGGAUAUGAAGCUUUCUUUGUUUGUAAAUAGGCCCGCAUCCGCUCCCACUGACAAGAACCCAGUUCAGCGGGGAUGGAGCCUUUAACCCUUUGUGGUGACGCGCACGCGCCCGCACACACACACAC